Molecule: ribosomal RNA, 251 nt
Filed under: uncultured prokaryote
Description: partial 16S ribosomal RNA
Rfam family: Bacterial small subunit ribosomal RNA
Source: RNAcentral
CCGUAGGGGGCCCUCUUUGUCCUUCUUUCCUGGUUUUCCCUUUCGCUCCUUCUUCCUUUCCCUUCCUUUUCUCCCUCCUCCCUCUUCCCUUUCUCCCUUCCUUUGAUACUUUCAUUCUUGAGUUCGGGAGAGAGAGACGGAAUUCCAGGUGUAGUGGUGAAAUACGUAGAUAUCGGGAGGAACACCAGUGGCGAAAGCGAUUUUCUGGAUCGUUUCUGACGCUCAGACGCGAAAGCUAGGGUAGCAAACGG